GACGAACGCUGGCGGCGUGCUUAAUACAUGCAAGUAGAACGCACAGUUUAUACCGUAGCUUGCUACACCAUAGACUGUGAGUUGCGAACGGGUGAGUAACGCGUAGGUAACCUGCCUGGUAGCGGGGGAUAACUAUUGGAAACGAUAGCUAAUACCGCAUAAUAUUGAUUAUCGCAUGAUAAUUGAUUGAAAGAUGCUAUUGCAUCACUACCAGAUGGACCUGCGUUGUAUUAGCUAGUAGGUGAGGUAACGGCUCACCUAGGCGACGAUACAUAGCCGACCUGAGAGGGUGAUCGGCCACACUGGGACUGAGACACGGCCCAGACUCCUACGGGAGGCAGCAGUAGGGAAUCUUCGGCAAUGGACGAAAGUCUGACCGAGCAACGCCGCGUGAGUGAAGAAGGUUUUCGGAUCGUAAAGCUCUGUUGUAAGAGAAGAACGGGUGUGAGAGUGGAAAGUUCACACUGUGACGGUAUCUUACCAGAAAGGGACGGCUAACUACGUG
This 505-nucleotide ribosomal RNA is filed under the name uncultured bacterium. RNAcentral's name for it is "partial 16S ribosomal RNA". It matches the Rfam family "Bacterial small subunit ribosomal RNA", at positions 28 to 507 of the family's 1533-position model. The record is from RNAcentral.